RNAcentral lists this small RNA (484 nucleotides) under Pongo abelii (Sumatran orangutan). Its description in RNAcentral is "processed transcript". Lineage: Eukaryota; Metazoa; Chordata; Mammalia; Primates; Hominidae. The record is from RNAcentral.
AGGAGUUGGACAUUCAAUGGAAUCUAAGUUGGCAUCUUUAGGAAUUAAAACUUGUGGAGACUUGCAGUAUAUGACCAUGGCAAAACUCCAAAAAGAAUUUGGUCCCAAAACAGGUCAGAUGCUUUAUAGGUUCUGCCGUGGCUUGGAUGAUAGACCAGUUCGAACUGAAAAGGAAAGAAAAUCUGUUUCAGCUGAGAUCAACUAUGGAAUAAGGUUUACCCAGCCAAAAGAGGCAGAAGCUUUUCUUCUGAGUCUUUCAGAAGAAAUUCAAAGAAGACUAGAAGCCACUGGCAUGAAGGGUAAACGUCUGACUCUCAAAAUCAUGGUACGAAAGCCCGGGGCUCCUGUAGAAACUGCAAAAUUCGGAGGCCAUGGAAUUUGUGAUAACAUUGCCAGAUCCAAUGGAAGAAGACAUUCUCCAAGUUGUGAAAUACUGUACUGAUCUAAUAGAAGAAAAAGAUUUGGAAAAACUGGAUCUAGUUAU